GAUGAACGCUAGCUACAGGCUUAACACAUGCAAGUCGAGGGGCAGCAUUUCAGUUUGCUUGCAAACUGGAGAUGGCGACCGGCGCACGGGUGAGUAACACGUAUCCAACCUGCCGAUAACUCGGGGAUAGCCUUUCGAAAGAAAGAUUAAUACCCGAUGGUAUAAUCAGACCGCAUGGUCUUGUUAUUAAAGAAUUUCGGUUAUCGAUGGGGAUGCGUUCCAUUAGGCAGUUGGUGAGGUAACGGCUCACCAAACCUUCGAUGGAUAGGGGUUCUGAGAGGAAGGUCCCCCACAUUGGAACUGAGACACGGUCCAAACUCCUACGGGAGGCAGCAGUGAGGAAUAUUGGUCAAUGGGCGCAGGCCUGAACCAGCCAAGUAGCGUGAAGGAUGACUGCCCUAUGGGUUGUAAACUUCUUUUAUAUGGGAAUAAAGUUUUCCACGUGUGGAAUUUUGUAUGUACCAUAUGAAUAAGGAUCGGCUAACUCCGUGCCAGCAGCCGCGGUAAUACGGAGGAUCCGAGCGUUAUCCGGAUUUAUUGGGUUUAAAGGGAGCGUAGGUGGACAGUUAAGUCAGUUGUGAAAGUUUGCGGCUCAACCGUAAAAUUGCAGUUGAUACUGGCUGUCUUGAGUACAGUAGAGGUGGGCGGAAUUCGUGGUGUAGCGGUGAAAUGCUUAGAUAUCACGAAGAACUCCGAUUGCGAAGGCAGCUCACUGGACUGCAACUGACACUGAUGCUCGAAAGUGUGGGUAUCAAACAGGAUUAGAUACCCUGGUAGUCCACACAGUAAACGAUGAAUACUCGCUGUUUGCGAUAUACAGUAAGCGGCCAAGCGAAAGCAUUAAGUAUUCCACCUGGGGAGUACGCCGGCAACGGUGAAACUCAAAGGAAUUGACGGGGGCCCGCACAAGCGGAGGAACAUGUGGUUUAAUUCGAUGAUACGCGAGGAACCUUACCCGGGCUUAAAUUGCAUUUGAAUAUAUUGGAAACAGUAUAGCCGUAAGGCAAAUGUGAAGGUGCUGCAUGGUUGUCGUCAGCUCGUGCCGUGAGGUGUCGGCUUAAGUGCCAUAACGAGCGCAACCCUUAUCUUUAGUUACUAACAGGUCAUGCUGAGGACUCUAGAGAGACUGCCGUCGUAAGAUGUGAGGAAGGUGGGGAUGACGUCAAAUCAGCACGGCCCUUACGUCCGGGGCUACACACGUGUUACAAUGGGGGGUACAGAAGGCAGCUACCUGGUGACAGGAUGCUAAUCCCAAAAGCCUCUCUCAGUUCGGAUCGAAGUCUGCAACCCGACUUCGUGAAGCUGGAUUCGCUAGUAAUCGUGCAUCAGCCAUGGCGCGGUGAAUACGUUCCCGGGCCU
This 1359-nucleotide ribosomal RNA is filed under the name uncultured bacterium. RNAcentral's name for it is "bacterial SSU rRNA". It matches the Rfam family "Bacterial small subunit ribosomal RNA", at positions 28 to 1381 of the family's 1533-position model. The record is from RNAcentral.